ACGGAGGGGGUUAGCGUUGUUCGGAAUGACUGGGCGUAAAGCGCGCGUAGGCGGACCAUCAAGUCGGGGGUGAAAUCCCCAGGCUUAACCUGGGAACUGCAUUCGAGACUGCAUUGCUAGAGUAUGGGAGAGGGAAGUGGAAUUUCCGGUGUAGCGGUGAAAUGCGUAGAUAUCGGAAGGAACAUCAGUGGCGAAAGCGACUUCCUGGACCAAUACUGACGCUCAUGUGCGAAAGCGUGGGGAGCAAACAGGA
This 253-nucleotide ribosomal RNA is filed under the name uncultured prokaryote. RNAcentral's name for it is "partial 16S ribosomal RNA". It matches the Rfam family "Bacterial small subunit ribosomal RNA", at positions 525 to 777 of the family's 1533-position model. The record is from RNAcentral.